RNAcentral lists this ribosomal RNA (253 nucleotides) under uncultured bacterium. RNAcentral describes it as "partial 16S ribosomal RNA". It matches the Rfam family "Bacterial small subunit ribosomal RNA", at positions 524 to 776 of the family's 1533-position model. The record is from RNAcentral.
GACAGAGGGUGCAAACGUUGCUCGGAAUCACUGGGCGUAAAGGGCGUGUAGGCGGGAAUGUAAGUCGGGCGUGAAAUCCCUAGGCUCAACCUAGGAACUGCACUCGAAACUGCGUUUCUUGAGUACUGGAGAGGAAAGCGGAAUACCUGGUGUAGAGGUGAAAUUCGUAGAUAUCAGGUGGAACACCAGCGGCGAAGGCGGCUUUCUGGACAGUAACUGACGCUGAGACGCGAAAGCGUGGGGAGCAAACAGG